This 468-nucleotide ribosomal RNA is filed under the name uncultured bacterium. Its description in RNAcentral is "partial 16S ribosomal RNA". It matches the Rfam family "Bacterial small subunit ribosomal RNA", at positions 28 to 507 of the family's 1533-position model. The record is from RNAcentral.
GACGAACGCUGGCGGCGUGCUUAACACAUGCAAGUCGAACGGAAAGGCCCUGCUUUUGUGGGGUGCUCGAGUGGCGAACGGGUGAGUAACACGUGAGUAACCUGCCCUUGACUUUGGGAUAACUUCAGGAAACUGGGGCUAAUACCGGAUAGGAGCUCCUGCUGCAUGGUGGGGGUUGGAAAGUUUCGGCGGUUGGGGAUGGACUCGCGGCUUAUCAGCUUGUUGGUGGGGUAGUGGCUUACCAAGGCUUUGAAGGGUAGCCGGCCUGAGAGGGUGACCGGCCACAUUGGGACUGCGAUAGGGACCAGACUCCUACGGGAGGCAGUAGUGGGGAAUAUUGCACAAUGGGCGGAAGCCUGAUGCAGCAACGCCGCGUGCGGGAUGACGGCUUUCGGGUUGUAAACAGCUUUCGCAUGUGACGAAGAGUGAGUGACGGUAAUGGGUAAAGAAGCACCGGCUAACUACGUG